UNAUUUAAGGUCUAAUCUGCCCACUGAUUUUUAAAUGGCCGCAGUAAUUUGACUGUGCUAAGGUAGCAUAAUAAUUAGUUUUUUAAUUGAAAGCUGGAAUGAAUGAUUGGAUGAGAUAAAAACUGUCUCAAUUUUAUUUUUAAAGAAUUUUAUUUUUAAGUUAAAAAGCUUAAAUUAUAUUAAUAGACGAGAAGACCCUAUAGAGUUUUAUAAAAAAAUAAAGAUUUGUUUUUUUAUAUAAAUAAUAAUUUUUUAUUUUUUUAUUUUGUUGGGGUGACAAAAAAAUUUAAUAAACUUUUUUUUUUAAAAUUCAUAAAUAAAUGAUUAUAUGAUCCAUUAUUAAGGAUUAUAAAAUUAAAUUACCUUAGGGAUAACAGCGUAAUUUUUUUUANAGUUCUUAUCGAAAAAAAANAUUGNNACCUCGAUGUUGGAUUAAAAUAAAGUUUUGGUGAAAAAGCUAAAAUUUUAAGUCUGUUCGACUUUUAAUAUUUUACAUGAUCUGAGU
Molecule: ribosomal RNA, 505 nt
Filed under: Condylops aulicus
Lineage: Eukaryota; Metazoa; Arthropoda; Insecta; Coleoptera; Melyridae
Description: partial 16S ribosomal RNA
Rfam family: Bacterial large subunit ribosomal RNA (bases 370-505)
Source: RNAcentral